RNAcentral lists this ribosomal RNA (784 nucleotides) under Bacillus subtilis. Its description in RNAcentral is "bacterial SSU rRNA". It matches the Rfam family "Bacterial small subunit ribosomal RNA", at positions 565 to 1349 of the family's 1533-position model. The record is from RNAcentral. Lineage: Bacteria; Bacillati; Bacillota; Bacilli; Caryophanales; Bacillaceae.
GGGCUCGCAGGCGGUUUCUUAAGUCUGAUGUGAAAGCCCCCGGCUCAACCGGGGAGGGUCAUUGGAAACUGGGGAACUUGAGUGCAGAAGAGGAGAGUGGAAUUCCACGUGUAGCGGUGAAAUGCGUAGAGAUGUGGAGGAACACCAGUGGCGAAGGCGACUCUCUGGUCUGUAACUGACGCUGAGGAGCGAAAGCGUGGGGAGCGAACAGGAUUAGAUACCCUGGUAGUCCACGCCGUAAACGAUGAGUGCUAAGUGUUAGGGGGUUUCCGCCCCUUAGUGCUGCAGCUAACGCAUUAAGCACUCCGCCUGGGGAGUACGGUCGCAAGACUGAAACUCAAAGGAAUUGACGGGGGCCCGCACAAGCGGUGGAGCAUGUGGUUUAAUUCGAAGCAACGCGAAGAACCUUACCAGGUCUUGACAUCCUCUGACAAUCCUAGAGAUAGGACGUCCCCUUCGGGGGCAGAGUGACAGGUGGUGCAUGGUUGUCGUCAGCUCGUGUCGUGAGAUGUUGGGUUAAGUCCCGCAACGAGCGCAACCCUUGAUCUUAGUUGCCAGCAUUCAGUUGGGCACUCUAAGGUGACUGCCGGUGACAAACCGGAGGAAGGUGGGGAUGACGUCAAAUCAUCAUGCCCCUUAUGACCUGUGCUACACACGUGCUACAAUGGACAGAACAAAGGGCAGCGAAACCGCGAGGUUAAGCCAAUCCCACAUAUCUGUUCUCAGUUCGGAUCGCAGUCUGCGACUCGACUGCGUGAAGCUGGAAUCGCUAGUAAUCGCGGAU